GACGAACGCUGGCGGCGUGCCUAAUACAUGCAAGUAGAACGCACAGUUUAUACCUUAGCUUGCUACACCAUAGACUGUGAGUUGCGAACGGGUGAGUAACGCGUAGCUAACCUGCCUGGUAGCGGGGGAUAACUAUUGGAAACGAUAGCUAAUACCGCAUCAUAUUAAUUAUUGCAUGAUAAUUAAUUGAAAGGUGCAAUUGCACCACUACCAGAUGGACCUGCGUUGUAUUAGCUAGUAGGUGAGGUAACGGCUCACCUAGGCGACGAUACAUAGCCGACCUGAGAGGGUGAUCGGCCACACUGGGACUGAGACACGGCCCAGACUCCUACGGGAGGCAGCAGUAGGGAAUCUUCGGCAAUGGACGAAAGUCUGACCGAGCAACGCCGCGUGAGUGAAGAAGGUUGUCGGAUCGUAAAGCUCUGUUGUAAGAGAAGAACGGGUGUGAGAGUGGAAAGUUCACACUGUGACGGUAUCUUACCAGAAAGGGACGGCUAACUACGUG
RNAcentral lists this ribosomal RNA (505 nucleotides) under uncultured bacterium. RNAcentral's name for it is "partial 16S ribosomal RNA". It matches the Rfam family "Bacterial small subunit ribosomal RNA", at positions 28 to 507 of the family's 1533-position model. The record is from RNAcentral.